AUUAAGUCCUCUCCAAUUUACGCACUGCACACCCGGUAUCCUUCUGCCCCGUGCCGCUGUCACUGAAAGAACGUUGCAAAUCUACUCAUUCAAACUUGUUGGACUAACGGAGCAGCUGAAGUGGCCACUCUCUGUUUAUGGUGUGGUUGCUGCCCGAGACACCGUAGACCGCAACCGCAACCUUCUCUUCUCUCGGUCGAGGAUCAGGGGUCAAUUACUCUCUCGACAUGACUCUUAUCUGCGCUUGACUGGCCCGUCUCAUGCAAUUCUAGUUGGGGAUUAUGUUGACUUUGAAGUUGAACUAAAAGUACGUGAUGGAGAUGAUGAGCGCAAUGAUACACAGUUGAUGUGUGUUAGCAAGCGGUAUAAAGAAGCAGACGGCGGCGGUGAGCAACCUUUACUCUUCGAUAGCCCAUUCUGUACUGCAGAGUUGAGGUUUGAGGUUUUUCCUACGACGGUCCAGCUCACUGUAUUGUCCGUUCGUGUUGUUGGAGGGGAGUUCCCUUUUAGCUCUGGGGGUCAGGCUGCUUGUAUUGUUUCUGGCCGUGAGAGGGUUGUGCUGUUUGAUUCUACUAAAAAAAUUACUAGAGAAGACCAAGUAGUUUUGGAUGGUUAUGUUCCUUUGUCAAGAAACGCCAUUUCAGUAGAGUUUGAAAAAGGAGUGACUGUUGAGGUAACAGCCUAUGUUGAUUCUGGUUCUAUCUCUGAUCUUGUCCACUUCCCUUCCAAGUGGUGCAACAUUAGUCAGGAUAGCUGUUUCAUCUGUGGUUCUGAGGUGAAGAUUACCGUUGCAUGGUCCCGGGUUGUGAGAGACAAGAUGGAGAUGUUGCUGGAGGGAUACGCUACCCAGGUGUAGUGUGCUAUCUGUAAUCAGGAGUGGUAAUUGUAUGUCGGCAAGUAGCAUGUAUCAACUAUAUAUAUUAUUUUGUAUGUUGCCAAGUGGCAUGUAUCGACUCUAUAUUUUGUAUGUCGGCAAGUAGUAUGUAUGAAGUCUAUAUUAUAUUAUUUGACUCUAAUGUGUUAAUGAGCAGUCGUGUUGUG
This is a long non-coding RNA of Triticum dicoccoides, 1041 nucleotides long. RefSeq lists it as uncharacterized. The record is from RefSeq and is a predicted model, not a curated record. The transcript is spliced from 2 exons. NCBI's taxonomy places the organism in Eukaryota, Viridiplantae, Streptophyta, Magnoliopsida, Poales, Poaceae.